CCUGAUCCAGCGACGCCGCGUGGGUGAUGAAGGCCUUCGGGUCGUAAAGCCCUGUGGGCAGGAAAGAAACGGUCACGGCGAACAGGCGUGGCCCUUGACGGUACCUGCUCAGAAAGCACCGGCUAACUCUGUGCCAGCAGCCGCGGUAAGACAGAGGGUGCAAACGUUGCUCGGAAUUACUGGGCGUAAAGCGCGUGUAGGCGGACCGGAAAGUCGGGCGUGAAAUCCCUGGGCUCAACCCAGGAACUGCACUCGAAACUUCCGGCCUUGAGUGGUGGAGAGGGUAGUGGAAUUCCUGGUGUAGAGGUGAAAUUCGUAGAUAUCAGGAGGAACACCGGUGGCGAAGGCGGCUACCUGGACACCAACUGACGCUGAGACGCGAAAGCGUGGGGAGCAAACAGGAUUAGAUACCCUGGUAGUCCACGCUGUAAACGAUGGGCACUAGGUGUCGCGGGUAUUGACCCCUGCGGUGCCGUAGCAAACGCGUUAAGUGCCCCGCCUGGGGAGUACGGCCGCAAGGCUA
This 523-nucleotide ribosomal RNA is filed under the name uncultured Pseudomonadota bacterium. Its description in RNAcentral is "bacterial SSU rRNA". It matches the Rfam family "Bacterial small subunit ribosomal RNA", at positions 382 to 896 of the family's 1533-position model. Lineage: Bacteria; Pseudomonadati; Pseudomonadota. The record is from RNAcentral.